RNAcentral lists this ribosomal RNA (446 nucleotides) under uncultured prokaryote. Its description in RNAcentral is "bacterial SSU rRNA". It matches the Rfam family "Bacterial small subunit ribosomal RNA", at positions 355 to 796 of the family's 1533-position model. The record is from RNAcentral.
UCGAGAAUCUUCGGCAAUGGGCGCAAGCCUGACCGAGCGACGCCGCGUGCGGGAUGAAGGCCUUCGGGUUGUAAACCGCUGUCAGAGGGGAUGAAAUGCAGGUGGGUUCUCCCAUCUGUUUGACAUAGCCUCAGAGGAAGGACGGGCUAAGUUCGUGCCAGCAGCCGCGGUAAGACGAACCGUCCAAACGUUAUUCGGAAUCACUGGGCUUAAAGGGUGCGUAGGCGGCGCGGAAAGUUGGGUGUGAAAUCCCUCGGCUCAACCGAGGAACUGCGCCCAAAACUGCCGUGCUUGAGGGAGAUAGAGGUGAGCGGAACUUAGGGUGGAGCGGUGAAAUGCGUUGAUAUCCUAAGGAACACCGGUGGCGAAAGCGGCUCACUGGAUCUCUUCUGACGCUGAGGCACGAAAGCUAGGGUAGCGAACGGGAUUAGAUACCCCCGUAGUCC